This is a long non-coding RNA of Odocoileus virginianus texanus, 417 nucleotides long. RefSeq lists it as uncharacterized. The record is from RefSeq and is a predicted model, not a curated record. NCBI's taxonomy places the organism in Eukaryota, Metazoa, Chordata, Mammalia, Artiodactyla, Cervidae.
CUUCAGUUCAUCGUUACACUGAGGUUUGCCUCACUGAGAGCCAAGGGGCAGUCAGGGAUUGCAGGGAGAAAACGCUGAGAAUGGCAGUGACCCUGGAAGCAGCAAGGGUGAACUUGUCUGCUGCUUCUCCCGUGGAAGUCACGGUCAAUGGGGCCAUUUCUCAGAUUGAGGGCCAGCUCUCUACUAAGCAGUGAGGCACGACUACAAGAGGGACUAUCCAAAGGUCAGACCAGUGCAUGACCAAUUUCAGGAUGGCUGUCAGAGCUGAGUGUGCUGUUUCUGCAAGUAACCCACUCCCUCCAAUAAAAGCUCUUGUCCACCAAUUGUCAGUGGAGGUGACUUGGCCUUUGGACAGAAGCCACCCACCCCAAUUCCCUGCCAUUGCUGGCAUUCAAAAUAAAGCACUUUUCCUUUCCA